RNAcentral lists this unclassified non-coding RNA (188 nucleotides) under plant metagenome. RNAcentral describes it as "partial contains small subunit ribosomal RNA and internal transcribed spacer 1". The stretch from base 1 to 47 matches the Rfam family "Eukaryotic small subunit ribosomal RNA", at positions 1786 to 1831 of the family's 1831-position model. The record is from RNAcentral.
AAGUCGUAACAAGGUUUCCCGUAGGUGAACCUGCGGAAGGAUCAUUAAAUGAGAGAGGGUCUCCAGGCCCCAAAGCCUCCCCCCAUUGCAAACAAAGCCUGCUUGCUUUGGAUGGGUGACCGCCCAUCAGAGGACCUUGAAAUCCCGUCAUCUGUGGAGUCUGAGCAUGAUACAAUUAGUUAAAAUCU